RNAcentral lists this ribosomal RNA (472 nucleotides) under uncultured bacterium. RNAcentral describes it as "partial 16S ribosomal RNA". It matches the Rfam family "Bacterial small subunit ribosomal RNA", at positions 30 to 507 of the family's 1533-position model. The record is from RNAcentral.
AGUGAACGCUGGCGGUAGGCCUAACACAUGCAAGUCGAACGGCAGCACAGUAAGAGCUUGCUCUUACGGGUGGCGAGUGGCGGACGGGUGAGGAAUACAUCGGAAUCUACUUUUUCGUGGGGGAUAACGUAGGGAAACUUACGCUAAUACCGCAUACGACCUACGGGUGAAAGCAGGGGAUCUUCGGACCUGGCGGGAUUGGAUGGGCCGAUGUCGGAUUAGCUGGUUGGUGGGGUAAUGGCCCACCAAGGCGCGGAUGGGUGGCCGGUUGGAGAGGAUGGACGGCCACAUUGGGACGGAGAUACGGCCCAGACUCCUACGGGGAGCAGCAGUGGGGAAUUUUGCACAAUGGGCGGAAGCCUGAUGCAGCAACGCCGCGUGCGGGAUGACGGCCUUCGGGUUGUAAACCGCUUUCGCCUGUGACGAAGCGUGAGUGACGGUAAUGGAUAAAGAAGCACCGGCUAACUACGUG